This 455-nucleotide ribosomal RNA is filed under the name uncultured bacterium. RNAcentral describes it as "bacterial SSU rRNA". It matches the Rfam family "Bacterial small subunit ribosomal RNA", at positions 340 to 786 of the family's 1533-position model. The record is from RNAcentral.
UACGGAAGGCAGCAGUGGGGAAUAUUGCACAAUGGGCGCAAGCCUGAUGCAGCCAUGCCGCGUGUAUGAAAAAGGCCUUCGGGUUGUAAAGUACUUUCAGUCGUGAGGAAGGUGUUAAGGUUAAUAACCUUAGCAAUUGACGUUAGCGACAGAAGAAGCACCGGCUAACUCCGUGCCAGCAGCCGCGGUAAUACGGAGGGUGCGAGCGUUAAUCGGAAUUACUGGGCGUAAAGGGCACGCAGGCGGUUAAUUAAGUUGGAUGUGAAAUCCCCGGGCUUAACCUGGGAAUGGCAUUCAAGACUGGUUAGCUAGAGUCUUGUAGAGGGGGUAGAAUUCCAUGUGUAGCGGUGAAAUGCGUAGAGAUGUGGAGGAAUACCGGUGGCGAAGGCGGCCCCUGGACAAAGACUGACGCUCAUGUGCGAAAAGCGUGGGGAGCAAAACAGGGAUUAGAUACC